This 391-nucleotide ribosomal RNA is filed under the name uncultured bacterium. Its description in RNAcentral is "bacterial SSU rRNA". It matches the Rfam family "Bacterial small subunit ribosomal RNA", at positions 775 to 1162 of the family's 1533-position model. The record is from RNAcentral.
GGAUUAGAUACCCGGGUAGUCCACGCCGUAAACGAUGCAUGCUAGACGUCGGCAGGUUUUCCUGCCCGUGUCGCAGCUAACGCAUUAAGCAUGCCGCCUGGGGAGUACGGCCGCAAGGUUGAAACUCAAAUGAAUUGACGGGGGCCCGCACAAGCGGUGGAGUAUGUGGUUUAAUUCGACGCAACGCGAAGAACCUUACCAGCCUUUGACAUGUCCAUUAUGGAUCGUAGAGAUAUGAUCCUUCACUUCGGGUGGGUGGAACACAGGUGCUGCAUGGCUGUCGUCAGCUCGUGUCGUGAGAUGUUGGGUUAAGUCCCGCAACGAGCGCAACCCUCAUCUUCAGUUGCCCCCGGGUUAGGCCGGGCACUCUGAAGAAACCGCCGGUGACAAG